GAUGAACGCUGGCGGCAUGCCUAACACAUGCAAGUCGAACGGAGUUAAUUGAAGCUUGCUUUGAUUAACUUAGUGGCGGACGGGUGAGUAACACGUGAGCAACCUGCCUCUCAGAGAGGAAUAGCUUCCGGAAACGGAUGGUAAUACCUCAUAACAUAUUUUUUCGGCAUCGAAGAGAUAUCAAAGAUUUAUCGCUGAGAGAUGGGCUCGCGUCUGAUUAGCUAGUUGGUAAGGUAACGGCUUACCAAGGCGACGAUCAGUAGCCGGACUGAGAGGUUGAACGGCCACAUUGGGACUGAGACACGGCCCAG
This 311-nucleotide ribosomal RNA is filed under the name uncultured bacterium. RNAcentral's name for it is "bacterial SSU rRNA". It matches the Rfam family "Bacterial small subunit ribosomal RNA", at positions 28 to 334 of the family's 1533-position model. The record is from RNAcentral.